GUCUGUGGCCACACCAGCUGAAUAUGCCUAAUCUAGUCUAAACUUGUAAGCAAAGCAGGGCUGGGCUUAGUUAGCACUUGGAUGGGAAACAUGUAUGAGGAUCCUCAACUACUAUCU
This 117-nucleotide ribosomal RNA is filed under the name Nannospalax galili (Upper Galilee mountains blind mole rat). The record is from RNAcentral. Lineage: Eukaryota; Metazoa; Chordata; Mammalia; Rodentia; Spalacidae.